ACACUGUUGAAGAGUGCCACAAUAGGACGAAAUGGCCGUUCAGUGU
This 46-nucleotide non-coding RNA is filed under the name Schistosoma mansoni. Lineage: Eukaryota; Metazoa; Platyhelminthes; Trematoda; Strigeidida; Schistosomatidae. The record is from RNAcentral.